RNAcentral lists this ribosomal RNA (262 nucleotides) under uncultured archaeon. RNAcentral describes it as "partial 16S ribosomal RNA". It matches the Rfam family "Archaeal small subunit ribosomal RNA", at positions 748 to 1009 of the family's 1478-position model. The record is from RNAcentral.
AGGGUGUAAACGCUGCAGACUUGGUGUUGGAAGUCCUUUGGGGGCAUUCAGUGCCGGAGAGAAGUUGUUAAGUCUGCUACUUGGGGAGUACGUCCGCAAGGAUGAAACUUAAAGGAAUUGGCGGGGGAGGCACCGCAACGGGAGGAGCGUGCGGUUUAAUUGGAUUCAACACCGUAAACUCACCAGGGAAGACUGUUACAUGAAAGCCGAGAUGAAGACUCUGCUAGAUUUUUCAGAGAGGUGGUGCAUGGCGUAGACGUCU